This 287-nucleotide long non-coding RNA is filed under the name Nicotiana benthamiana. RNAcentral describes it as "long non-coding RNA (NBEN_LNC033366)". The record is from RNAcentral. Lineage: Eukaryota; Viridiplantae; Streptophyta; Magnoliopsida; Solanales; Solanaceae.
AAAAGUGUGACGAAUAUGGCCUUAGAGAAAGAAAGGUUCCUAAAACUUGCCCGACUAGGUGGAAUUACAUGUACGAAAGUUUAGUAGUAGCAUACGCAUAUAGAAACCCAAUUAACGCUACGUAUAAUUCUCGGGAUUGUGGUGAGGAAGAUGAUGAAAUGCUAACUACACAAGAUUGGACUAACGUCAAAAUUCUUUUAGAUUUAUUAGAACAUUUUCAUGUGGCUAUAAAUGUUUUUUCUGGCCAAUAUUAUCCAACUAUUUCUAACUGUUUAGUUUAUAUUGCC